Long non-coding RNA from Tarenaya hassleriana, 725 nucleotides. RefSeq lists it as uncharacterized. The record is from RefSeq and is a predicted model, not a curated record. The transcript is spliced from 2 exons. Lineage: Eukaryota; Viridiplantae; Streptophyta; Magnoliopsida; Brassicales; Cleomaceae.
AAGUCUUAUAAUCCAACGGCUGAGAUUUAAUUUCUUAGAAUAAUGCCACGUCAUCGCCUCCCACUUGCUUAAUUUCGCUCCGACGAAGAAGCCAACCGAUCCCGUAUCGCCGCCGCGGAAGAUGGAGCGAAAUAACAAGCGAGCGAGUUCGACGAGUCUGAACCGGUGGUUUUUGACGCCGGAGAUGGAGAUCCAACGGCGGCUCAGACUCGUUGAACUCCGGUCGCUUGUUGUAACGCUCCAUACCGCGGCGGCGACUGGGAAUCGGUGGCGUCUUCCUUCACAGAGCGAAAUUUGGAAUCGAUGAUCCGGUGACAAAACGCGGGGGAGAAGAGGAGGAAGAGGAUCGGGACCUUUAUCGGGAAGUAAAAGUCAGGAGGAAAGCUUCUCGUUGUCUGGAGCACCGGGGGGAUACGUGCCUUCGCGUCCUGGCCUGAUGAAGAUUAUGGAGAACCGAGGGGAUAUAAAGACCAGAAUUUCGCAGAAGUGAACCCGUCUCAUAUUUCCUUGCUGUCCAUAGGUUUUGGAGGGAGCCCAUUACUCCCUGUCAUGAAGGUGAAUGGAUCCUUUUCUGGCUGGCUCCUAAUAGCUUAAAUCGGGGUGGUAUGUGUUUAUUCUUUGGUUUCCAUCUUUUUUUCCCCAUUCUUUCCUAAAAACUGUGUAUUUUCAUCUGGAAAUGAAUAUAUAUAUUUUCUCUGCUCCAAAAAAAUGACUUAUUCAUGGUA